UACGUAGGAGGCGAGCGUUGUCCGGAAUUACUGGGCGUAAAGGGUGCGUAGGCGGCCUGAUAAGUCAGAUGUGAAAUACCAGGGCUCAACCCUGGGGGUGCAUUUGAAACUGUUGGGCUUGAGUGCAGGAGAGGAAAGUGGAAUUCCUAGUGUAGCGGUGAAAUGCGUAGAGAUUAGGAGGAACACCAGUGGCGAAGGCGACUUUCUGGACUGUAACUGACGCUGAGGCACGAAAGCGUGGGUAGCGAACAGGAUUAGAUACCCUGGUA
Molecule: ribosomal RNA, 269 nt
Filed under: uncultured prokaryote
Description: partial 16S ribosomal RNA
Rfam family: Bacterial small subunit ribosomal RNA
Source: RNAcentral